This is a long non-coding RNA of Macaca fascicularis (crab-eating macaque), 1833 nucleotides long. The record is from Ensembl. Lineage: Eukaryota; Metazoa; Chordata; Mammalia; Primates; Cercopithecidae.
CUGAAUCAGGGAACAGUUAGGGAACCCUGAGAGAUGCAGGCCUUCAGCUGUGCCCCGCCCUGACAGCAGUGUUUUGGACGCUGUGAAGCGUUCUGCGCAUAGCGUUCUUGGGGUGUUUCCUCAGCCUGGAAAACUGGGCUCUGGAAUGCCGUUGGAAAUAGGUGUGUUUAAUUUGUUUUGAAGUGAAUAAAAUUCUCAAAAAGAUGACGUACUCUCUUUUGACUUUCAUUCCGUGUUUGUGUGUAACUGAUUUUCCAAGGGCUUGAAAAUGUCUUGACUUGUCAGUAAUCCAAGUCAUUAUGUCUCCGAAACAGAGUUGACUGAGGGGACCGCAGGUCUUCGCAGGACCUGUGACUUCUUAAACAUCCACAGGGGCAAGAGAACCUCAGCCCCACUCUACCAACACGCACCUAGUCAAAUUCCACCAAGUGAAUCUCACGCACGCUAACACGUGGGGAGCGUUGCUUGCACCACGAGUCCCCAUUUGGCUCAACGCGAUGCCACGUGUGGGGUUCAAACUGUGACGGCCCCCAUGAAGUGGUUUCCGGAUGUGCGUAUGAACGAGGCACACUUUCAUUCGCCAAGUAGAACCCAGUAAAGCUGAAGUAAACUCCCAGAUUUGGGAUGCACUUCAGAGGUAGAAUAUUCGUCCCGUCUUCUUUCCGGAUGCCUGAGCACCGGGCCUUUCCAUGCUUCUCCCCCGAUCCUAAGAGUAGCUGAGGUCGAGACUCACUGAAAGCUCUAGGUAAAGAUAUCCCACCAUGCACAGGCUAUCUCCGUUCUCUGACCUGGGAACAACUCUGACCAGGAUUCCACAUCUAGGAGGCCUGGGAACUGAGUGGGAUUUUCUGAGCAAUGCCAAAUGGCUGCUCCCUUUCCGCCGCCGUUGAGGGUCGUUACCUUGGUUGUCCAGAUCACCUAGAAACUAUCAGUAUCCAGAAUCAACAAGAUCAACUCUCUGCUCCUCUGACAGCAGAAGGAGCAUGACCAAAAUGAACCAAAGAGCGUGGCAGGAAAGGAUGUGACCGGAAAGCUCAGAGAACAGCCACAGGGGGAUGUAAGCAGGCGUUCCCACCUGAUCAUGAAUAAUUAAUGAAGCGCAAAUCCAGGGGGAAUCGAGUUUCAGCAGGUGCAACUCAUCCAACGGGAGAUCGCCGGAGGGCCAACAAGAUUCAGCAACUGAGAGUCGGGUGUAGUGUCAAGUGGGACGCGACUGGUUCCAAAGCUCUAGAAGACCAUGGGGUCACUUGGACCACGUGAGAAAAUGCCCCCAGUGUGCUGGUUCAGCAUUCUGACUCCUGCCUGUCUCUUCCCGCCCAGGGAACGUGGACCCUAACUUGUGCAGGUGCAGAUGACGAAGAGCAGAAUGAGGGGACGCGGCACCCAAGUUCCCCGACAAGAGAGUUCCACAGAAAGUCCGCUGGAUCUUCGCAAAUCCAGAGAAAUGGCAACGGGACCCAAGGAAAUAGAGCCCCACCGGUGUCCUGGAGACUCUUCAGGCAUAAUGCCUGGAGCCGCAGGACGAGCUGAAAAAGGAGCCAGGCACCGAAGGACAAAGCGGUGUUGACGUUCUUCAUCUGGGUUUCCCAGUGCAGUCCAAUUCACGGUGGUUUCCAAGGGCCUCCUGGAGGAGAAAACACGUGAGGGUGUGGUCAGGGUUUUCUGCUGACACACUUACCGUGGGGAAGAAGGAGAAGCUCUGAAGAUGGAUAACGACCGAGAUUGCAUGUCAAGGUGUACCUCCUUGAUGACACUGAGGCCUACGUUGAAAUAGAGUGAAUAUGGUCCAAUUACACUGUGUCUAUUUUAGCACCUUGUUUAAAAAAAAAAAAA